RNAcentral lists this ribosomal RNA (650 nucleotides) under uncultured bacterium. RNAcentral's name for it is "bacterial SSU rRNA". It matches the Rfam family "Bacterial small subunit ribosomal RNA", at positions 42 to 672 of the family's 1533-position model. The record is from RNAcentral.
UCAGGCCUAACACAUGCAAGUCGAGCGGAAACGAGCUAUCUGAACCUUCGGGGAACGAUAACGGCGUCGAGCGGCGGACGGGUGAGUAAUGCCUAGGAAAUUGCCCUGAUGUGGGGGAUAACCAUUGGAAACGAUGGCUAAUACCGCAUGAUGCCUACGGGCCAAAGAGGGGGACCUUCGGGCCUCUCGCGUCAGGAUAUGCCUAGGUGGGAUUAGCUAGUUGGUGAGGUAAGGGCUCACCAAGGCGACGAUCCCUAGCUGGUCUGAGAGGAUGAUCAGCCACACUGGAACUGAGACACGGUCCAGACUCCUACGGGAGGCAGCAGUGGGGAAUAUUGCACAAUGGGCGCAAGCCUGAUGCAGCCAUGCCGCGUGUGUGAAGAAGGCCUUCGGGUUGUAAAGCACUUUCAGUCGUGAGGAAGGUAGUGUAGUUAAUAGCUGCAUUAUUUGACGUUAGCGACAGAAGAAGCACCGGCUAACUCCGUGCCAGCAGCCGCGGUAAUACGGAGGGUGCGAGCGUUAAUCGGAAUUACUGGGCGUAAAGCGCAUGCAGGUGGUUUGUUAAGUCACAUGUGAAAGCCCGGGGCUCAACCUCCGAAUAGCAUUUGAAACUGGCAACUACUCCACCGCCCAGGCCGGCAUAACUUCCC